This is a long non-coding RNA of Cygnus atratus (black swan), 531 nucleotides long. RefSeq lists it as uncharacterized. Lineage: Eukaryota; Metazoa; Chordata; Aves; Anseriformes; Anatidae. The record is from RefSeq and is a predicted model, not a curated record. The transcript is spliced from 3 exons.
AGCAUGCCUCUUGAGAGGCAAACACAAUCUCAAUUCCAGCUCUAUUUUUUAUCUUGAAAAUAGGCCCAUUUACUACCCUCCAAGGACCAUGAGAUGACAGAAACAAGAAUUUCACAUAUCAGAAAAUGUGCAUAAGGGAAUACCAAGACAUUUUGCUCUGACCAGACAGAAACCCUCCUACAUCCAAUCAAGAGGAAAAGAAUAGAAAAUGGGGCAGCUGCAGCCCACGUCAUCACCCCCUAACAAAAGCAGUACAAAAUUCAGUGUAAAUGAACAUUAAGGUGAAUGAAAACCAAGAGGCUCACACAACCUGUUUACAAAUAUGUCCUGUUUUUAUCUAUGAUUGCUUCACAGCGCUGCUGUGCUUCUCUGAUGUGCUGGACUUCAGUCACAGCCCUGAUAUAAGCAAUGUGUCACUUUCCCAACCAAAGAAAAUAGAAUUUAAGCAAGCUUGUCAACAGUAGGGCCCAGCAGGCAGGCGAAGCAAGGAAUCCAAGAGGGUCAGAUUUCUUGGUAUUUCUCUGCUAGCAC